GGUCACUGCCUUAGCUGUGGUGCUAAGGGGCGCAACUGCUGUGGUGUGCAGCAGACCUGGGGUGCCUAGGAGCAAAGUGCUGCCUCAGCUGUGGCACCAAGGGGAUGUGACUGCUCUGAUGUGAAGGAGGCUGGGUAGUCCUGGGGGUGGGAUGCUGCCUCAGCUGUGGCACCAGGGGUAUGACUGCUCUGGAAUUUCUAGGCUUCAAGUCACCAGAGGUGGGACAUCGCUUCUGCUCAGCCCUAAGGAGAGGGUAAACCAGCGACUAGGAUAGGGGACAAAGUCAUUCUGUGGUAGCUUGGCCCUAGUGGUCAGGUUAUAGCAUCAGCUUUGCCCCAUGAUGGCUCGCUACUGAGCGUGGUAUAGUGCUGGCUAAACCUCCAGGAUGGAGAGAUUCAGUGGCUACUCACUCCCAGAGCAGGCCACACCCUAGCAGUGGCUCAGAUUCUGAGAGGGCACAGAGUAGUAGCAGCACAGGCCACAGAGGGGUGGGGCACAGUGUCUGCUUUUUCUCUGGGCGUAGCCCAGGAUUUAGACUCCAGGGAGCUCCCUCAGUUGGGCUCAGAACCUGCGAGGAUGGCAGCGGUGUCCAGCAGUGAAGACUGAAGGUGUCCACAGCUGUGAUAGGGGCUUCUGGGUCCUCUUGCUUGCUUUUCUUCACAGGAAGAAGUCCCUCCUAGCUCCUAGGGGGUUUGAUUGUGAGCGGCAAGGGUGUGGCAGAGUAACCAAAUUCACCCUGUCUGUGGCAAACAAGCGCCACCACUACCAUCCCAGAGUGCCACCAUCUGCACUGACUUGAGGAAUUCCAGUUUGAUGAUAGCAGUUUUCACCCUAACUCUUGACCAGUAAAGAACCACCAUGGAACGCUUCAAGGAUGCUGAGUGCUUCCUUCAUGAAUUUAUUUCCACAUCUUUGAUAAAGGGCAUAUUCUGUUAACCCUCCUCGAGGACACAGGAAGGGAUUAUGCUCCAAGACACUGAAUCUGAAAGGAUGCAUCCAGUCUUGCCAAGUGGUUUCACUACCAAGGCCAGUCUCCAUCUAUGAUAGACCCAAGGAAGAUCAUUUACAACUAGAAUCUAGUCAUUUAGGAGAUUGUGUGCUCCCUGGAUGGGCCAUCUGCACUGGUGUGAGGUUUAUCUCAUUGAAGGGAAAACCAAAGGAAUCUUCUUGAAUAUCAGCACCAGGAAGAGCAGUACAAACUGGAGAAGCUGGGGAUCCAUCUGGGUUCUUGCUUUUGUGAAACUAACUACAAAGGUGAAGAACAGAAAUAUACCCUCAGGAUACAUUGGAGUGCAGGGAACAAGACUGACAAGCAGAGCUCAGAGAAAAAAUAUAAGAAGGAACAUGAAGAGCUGGAAAUGAGGAGUGAUAUCAGAAAGAUGGCAGCAUAGGAGCUUUCUACCAUCAUCCCCCAUGGAAGCAUUGAUUUUGACAACUACCACAGAUGAGUGUACAUUUGUGGGAGUCAGGGAAUACAGUGAAGAAGUUCCAGAACACCAUUAGAGAAAAAAAUCUGAGAAUAGUCACACUGAGGAGUAUAAGAAGAAGAGUUUUACUUUACCCAUGUCACUCCUCCCCCAAGGCAGCAGAGUUCAGUGCUGAAAGACACCAUCCUCAGCACACAAUUUCUCCAACAGGAAAAUAAGAGCAUACUGAGUUAGUGUCCUGCUCCCCUAGCUACACAGGAUGCUGUCCAAGAGGCCCACUAUCAUCCCACCCAGAACACUGAGGUGAUUGGCACAACCGAGUGGUUGGAAGACACCAGGAGCAGGGAGAAGAGGUCACAGAUUCUACUAAUCACUCUGCAGACUUUAUCAGGAAGCCUUCCCAUGAGCCACUUGGGAAUUUUUGACUUUUAAACACCUCCCAACUGGUCCACAGACACUCUAAACACCCCGUGGCUCACCAUCCACACCAGGCUAGCUCCCCAGCACACCUUCACAGAUAGCAAUUCAAGCAUCUUGUGCAGACAGCCAUCUGGACUCUGCAGAUUAGGAGAAGGCACUCAAACUUGAACAUUUCAGAGCACUGCCAUAGGGAAAACAAGCAGGAGGCUCUUAGCACCCAGCCUGGCUUUGCAGGAUUGAAAGAAGGCAAAAAUAUCUCAAGAAUGUGCAUAUUAGAGGGAACAAGAGAUGUGGAGCAGAUGCAGCCACAGAAAAGUUCAGAGAGAGCCUCAGAAUCACUAGCCAUGCUUUUCGGUGAAAAAAUUUCUCUCCUGAAGAUAGUCAGUAAAGACUGAAGGAGGUGACUGUUUCUUCAAAUCAAAGACAACAAUGCAAAACUUCAAGGAACACACUUAAAAAAAUCAAGUAAACAUGAAACCAACAAGGGAGCACAAUACUAUGCUAGUAACCAACCCCAAAUAAAUGAACAACUAUGAAUUGCCUGACAAAUAAUUUAAAAUAACAAUUUUGAGGAAGAUCAACAAACAGCAGGAGAACACAGAUAGGCAACUCAAUGAAAUCUGAAAAACAAACCGUGAACAAAAUUAUAAGUUCAAUAAAGAAAAAUUAUUUUUUUAAAAAAUUCUGAAGCUAAGAAUACAAUGAAUGAAUUAAAGAAGGCAAUAGAGUAUGUCAACAGCAGACUUCAUAAAGCAGAAGAAAAUCUAUGAAAUUAAAGAAAGAUCAUUUGAAAAUAUCCAAUCAGGGGAGAAAAAAGAAUGAAAAGGAAUGAAGAAUAUCUAUGGGAUUUAUUGAUGGUGUUAUCAGGAGAGCUAAUAUUUGCAUUAUAAUAUACCAGAAGGAAGGGAGAGAGAAAAAGGAGCACAAGCUUAUUUAAAGAAACAAUGGCUGAAAACUUUCUAAAUCUGGAGGGAAAUAUGGACAUUUAGGUAUAUGAAGUUCAAAAGUCUACAAUCAGAUUCAACCCAAGAAAGACUUCACCAAGACAUAAUAUAAUCAAACAGUCAAAAUCAAAGACAAAGAGAAAAUUGUGAAAGCAGCAAGAAAAAAGAGGUUUCUCACAUAUAAGAGAACCACCAUAAGACUAUGACCAGAUUUCUCAGUAGAAACUUUGCAAGCCUGGAGGGUGUGAGAUGAUAUAGCCUAAGUGCUGAAAGAAAAAAUAAAUAAAUAAAUGAACUGUCAACUAAGAAAACUUUAACCAGCAAAUCUGUUUUAUAAAAACGAAAGAAAGAAAAAGACUUUCCUAGACAAAGCUGAGAGAGUUCAUCACCACUAAACCUAACAAGAAAUGCUAAAGGGAGAUUUUCAAGCUGAAAUAAAAGGAUACUAAUUAAAAUAUGAGAGUAUACAACUCACUGGUAAAAGUCAUUGUUGAGAGACAAAAUGAGAUCAUGUCUGGGAAAAUACUUCUAAAUUAUCAACUCCCUUUCUAUGGAAGAGGAUGACCAAAGAAGGAUGCACUCCUUGUCUGGAAUUAUGCCAGAGGUCUUAAAAUGCUCAGAAAUGAAAUCAGCCUUCUUCCCUGUCCUAAGAGGCUCAGGUUUUCGGCAAGUAACUCAUAAAAUUAAUGCUCCACUGAAAAUAAAAUCUGAUUUGAGUAGUAUCAGCACUUAGAAGACCUUUGGAGGCCGGGGGUAUUUUCUCUUUUACAAUGCUGUGAACAACAUUCACUCCUGGAAAACACUCCAAUGUCUUACAUCUUGAGGCUGUGGGGAUUUUUUUUUCUUUUGGUUUAAAUGUUGCCUUUCCUAUCUUUCUGCAUAUCAAUUUUUCCCCUGCCCAAGUCACAGGCUUGGUAGUAACCAUCAUGUUUACUGCUGUUCCUUCACAUGUGGUUCUCUGAGGCUUCUGAGCACCAGAAUUUUAUUAAACAGAGCUACUCACACCAUAAAGAUGGAAUUCUGCCAGAUCUGAAUCAUAGAAUAACACCAGAAUUGACUUCAGAAAUCAUCUUCUCUAAAGAUUUGCAAGAUUUUUAAACAGCACAUGCCUUUGUAAAAUGAAAUCAUCAGUGGAACACCGUAUAUAAAAUAAAAUUAAUAAAAACUACUAUGGCUGGAGAGGUGAAACUCUAACAUAUUACACAGUCUCCUGGGUUUUUUUGCAGAUAUUAAGGAUCCACUGAACCAUUUGAAAACUACCCUAUAUACUCCCCCUUUCCAGUGCUUCAGUCCCUUCUAUAGUAAUCACCACUGGAUUGUUCAGUCUUUCAAUAUUUUCAGUGGUGCCUAUCCUCCCAAGAAAGGCCAUCUUAAUUUGGGACAGCUUUAACUGUCUAUUUGGAAAAUCAUUCUUAUAUUUUAAUGGUCUCCUUGUAACCUCUAUUUAUUGUUACUAGAACAGAACUAGACUGUGCUCUAUUCCAUCUAAGUAUUGGGGUCAAUGAUCAUAUUCCUCCACAAACUUAUAGUUUUUUUACAAACUAAAUAUCCCCUGAUUUUUUCAACUUUAUCACAGUGUGAGAAUAUGUGGGCCUAAUCUCUUUAUUCUAAUUUCUUUCCUUUGAACUUGCUUCACUUUGUCAAUGUCAGUUUUAAUUUGUGUGCCUAGAACUGUAAAAAGUAAUCCCUAUGUUGACUGUAAUCAUCAACUCUUUCACUUUGAACAUUCUACCCCUGUUAAUUUGGCCUAUAAUUGAAUUUGAUUUGGGGAAAACUUGUCGGAGCUUAGCCAACUAAAUCCCCAAUAUCAUCCUUGAAUAUGCUACUGCAGAACCAAAUCUCCCAUAUUACAAACUUUUAAAAUUGUUUUAAUGACUUCAUGUGGUCAUUUUCCUUUGCCAUGGCUUUUAAAGUCACAUGGUUCUAUUAGAAAGAUUUCUAGGUCUCUUGUCAUUUCUAGAAUCUGGUUUGUUGGAUUUGGCAAAUCAAUAUCUGUAUAUUUGUUCACUUUUUAUUCUGUCAAUCGCAAACAUGCCAUCUGCUUAAUAAUUUCCCACAGAUCUUUAUUGAUAUAUAUUUUGUUGGGAAAGAAUUUAUCAUUUUAGAUCCAGAAUAUGUAAUCAUAGCUGUCCAUUUAUAUCUGACCAUAAAGAACUUUCCUACUAUAGAAUUUUUGAGAUUUGGUGAGGGCUAACUAGAAGGCUGAAAGGAUAGGAAAGCUGCUGAGUUUAUUUGGUUACACACCAAUGGUCCUGUAAGUCUGUAAUUUCAAAAAUCUACCCGAAAACAAGGGAUUGUAUCCACUGUUAAAUGGAUGAAGUUUUAAGCAUCAGAAAAUCAGUCUGAAUUUUCAUUAUUCCCUAGAAAUUUUCUCAACUUUGUGAGUUUCAUCCAGGUACUUUGCCGUUCUUGAACAUAUUUUCAUGUGGUUUUAUAAUAUUUAUUCAACAUUAUUUUCCAUUAGUUCUCUAAUUUUAAUUGUUGGUAAGCAUUUCGAUGUGUAGCUAUUACAUGGUGCAGAACUGAUUUAUCCACGUUAAUGUCUGAGGAGACCAUGACCCAUUUUAUCUGCUGCGUGGUCAGCCCUGGUAUUCAUGGCAGGUUGUCUGAAUAUUUCUGAUGAAGUCUUUAAGUACAUGUAAUUCUGAAAACACAUUCCCAUUCAGUAAGACUUAUACAGGAUGGUAAGCCUAACAUGGCAAAAGGUUUCUAAAAAAUUCCAUAAACAUUAAGCAUAUUUAUGUCAUAGCAUUAAGUUUGGUCAAUUUGAAACUUACCGUAUUGUAGUAUAAGAGGCAUUUUGUUUGCUUGUGUUUACUUUCCCAG
This 5617-nucleotide long non-coding RNA is filed under the name Homo sapiens (human). RNAcentral's name for it is "HSALNT0086308". Lineage: Eukaryota; Metazoa; Chordata; Mammalia; Primates; Hominidae. The record is from RNAcentral.